AUGCUUCGGCAGCAUAUAUACUAAAACUGGAAUGAUAAAGAGAAGAUUAGCAUGGAUUUUGCGCAAGGAUGACACACAAACUCGUGAAGCGUUCCAUAUUUUU
Trichechus manatus latirostris (Florida manatee) is the source of this 103-nucleotide small nuclear RNA. NCBI's taxonomy places the organism in Eukaryota, Metazoa, Chordata, Mammalia, Sirenia, Trichechidae. The record is from RefSeq and is a predicted model, not a curated record.